UACGUAGGUGGCAAGCGUUGUCCGGAUUUACUGGGUGUAAAGGGCGUGUAGCCGGGAAGGCAAGUCAGAUGUGAAAUCCACGGGCUUAACUCGUGAACUGCAUUUGAAACUGUUUUUCUUGAGUAUCGGAGAGGCAAUCGGAAUUCCUAGUGUAGCGGUGAAAUGCGUAGAUAUUAGGAGGAACACCAGUGGCGAAGGCGGAUUGCUGGACGACAACUGACGGUGAGGCGCGAAAGCGUGGGGAGCAAAC
This 250-nucleotide ribosomal RNA is filed under the name uncultured archaeon. RNAcentral's name for it is "partial 16S ribosomal RNA". It matches the Rfam family "Bacterial small subunit ribosomal RNA", at positions 524 to 773 of the family's 1533-position model. The record is from RNAcentral.